GGUCCAUCUCCCUGAUUAUCUGCUACCUGAUUUUAGCCGAUCCAUUCUCUCCAGUCUUCGCCAGUUUGUUGUGAAACGCCUUGCCAUGCUCACCUGACCUGUCCAGCCUCACCUGUCAUCUCUGAGGAUCACCUGCCUUGGAAAUCGUCUUCUGUUUCAUCACCUGCACUCUCUUUUGACAUUAAACAGUUUAUUUUUUUUUUUUAAACCAC
Molecule: long non-coding RNA, 212 nt
Organism: Perca flavescens (yellow perch)
Lineage: Eukaryota; Metazoa; Chordata; Actinopteri; Perciformes; Percidae
Exons: 2
Source: RefSeq, a predicted model, not a curated record